Molecule: non-coding RNA, 236 nt
Filed under: Sporolactobacillus nakayamae
Lineage: Bacteria; Bacillati; Bacillota; Bacilli; Caryophanales; Sporolactobacillaceae
Source: RNAcentral
GGAAUCCCGUCGGAAAAGAAUUAGCCACUCAUCCGUAGCGAGUCUUGGAGAACUAAGGGUAACGUUAGUUUUUAAGCGUAGACAGCGAGCCAGUGGGCCGUAAGCCAUGUGGUUGAAGGGAUUGAGCCUCGAAAACUUAUGAAAAUGGGAACGCCGAUGGCGUUAUACUUCCAGAAGGCAACACCCCAAUUAUCGAUAGGGCAAGAGGAUUGGGGGCUCCCCGAGGUCUGAGACCA